Molecule: long non-coding RNA, 876 nt
Organism: Haemorhous mexicanus (house finch)
Lineage: Eukaryota; Metazoa; Chordata; Aves; Passeriformes; Fringillidae
Exons: 2
Source: RefSeq, a predicted model, not a curated record
AAACCGCGCGGUUCUCUUGAAUAAAGCCUUCCUUGUUCUUUCUACAAUCCCGCCUCUCACCUCUUCCUGUGUCAUUCCCAGAUCAAGAGUGACAUCUGGUGACCCGACCUGUGUGCUGCUCCGGCCGGCCUUCGCGGAAUGCGGCAGACCCCCGGGACCCGCGCCUGACCCCACGGGUCCUUGGGUCCGCGUUCGGACCCCUCUGUUUCCCCGGAGAGACACUGGAGUGCGAUGGGUACCUGCAGAGUGCAUCCGCCUUGACUUGCAACAUCAAAACCGGAAUGUGGCCAACAGGCAACCUUUGAAUGAUGACCAAGAUAACAACCAAGAUGAGGGCCAAGAUGACAACCAUCAAUCAGAUGGCCCUUCCACGAGUGGGGACUGAAUUUCAUCCUGUUUUCUGAAAAGGACUGUUUUGAAUUAGAAUAAGCAUAUGACUUAGAAUUGAUAGUGCAUUUUAUAAGAGACAAUCACAAGACCUGAUCUCUCUGGCCAUUUUAAUCUGAUCUGAUGGAGGGACCGCUGGAGCCGUGUUUGUUCUCCUUUCUGCAAGGGGCCCCACAGAGGACUACAAACACCACCUCCAUCUUUAAACAAACAAGGGGGACCUGUAGAUGCCAUGGGACAGAGAGAGAGAAAUGGCAAGCAUUCCUCACAGCGGCUUGUGAGACCUUUCAGGGAGUUGUAAGAAUGUGAUAACUUGUUAGUAGAAACAAUCUGCAGGUGAUGUUUUUCUACUUCAUCUUUCUGUUCUUCUCGAGGACGGUGUAUGAGAAAGGUGUUUUUGUUAACUAGCCAAUCAAAUAGAAUGUAUGGUAUCACUCUAUAAAAACCACCUGGUUCUCUCGAAUAAAGCCUUCUUUGUUCUUUCUACAA